RNAcentral lists this ribosomal RNA (25 nucleotides) under Diaporthe longicolla. RNAcentral describes it as "partial 28S ribosomal RNA". Lineage: Eukaryota; Fungi; Ascomycota; Sordariomycetes; Diaporthales; Diaporthaceae. The record is from RNAcentral. RNAcentral also lists the same sequence under 19 other names.
UUUGACCUCGGAUCAGGUAGGAAUA